Long non-coding RNA from Dipodomys spectabilis (banner-tailed kangaroo rat), 641 nucleotides. RefSeq lists it as uncharacterized. NCBI's taxonomy places the organism in Eukaryota, Metazoa, Chordata, Mammalia, Rodentia, Heteromyidae. The record is from RefSeq and is a predicted model, not a curated record. The transcript is spliced from 2 exons.
UCAAGCCCCACAAACAACCAAAAACAUAAAAUAAAACAGGGCAUCAUAAAUGUACUUGUGUUCAUUUAAUAACACCAAAUCUCACAUUAUCAAAGAGCCUCUCAAAUACAACUUUGAAUAAUUACUGUAUCAUAUGGAUGGUAUCUACCAUAAUGUGCUUAGUCAAAGCUAAGCUAUCUCAUAUAUAUAUGUACAUCUGUUAUGUUAAAAUUAACAUUAGUAUCUUUUCAAAUGUUUGCUUACAGGAGAUGGAGGCCUUAACACAGAACACUAAUAGCACUCUUGUUUUAUCUCUAAAGGCAAACAAAAAACUGGUCCUCUACCAUCGCUAUACGAAUCGAGCGCUGGUGGCCCAUCGGAACCUGUUCUUAAGGACGUACUUUGGAAAAGAAGUUGAGGUUGCAGCUCACACAUAUCUGGAUUCACAGAGAGUGGAAAAGCCAAAGAACGUAUGGCUUUUAGUGACUGCGAGCCCCAGGGAUGACGAGGCCACCAUGCUGGACGUGGCCAAGCCCAGGGCCGAGGACACCCGUGCUGUGGAGCAGGCCAUGGGCCUUGGCCCGCAGUGACACACGCCCCACGCAGUCCUGUUCUUUCUGACCUUGCUCUUGCCAAAUACAGCUUCCAACCAGAGACCUGGG